RNAcentral lists this long non-coding RNA (300 nucleotides) under Cairina moschata (Muscovy duck). RNAcentral describes it as "domestica (muscovy Duck (domestic type)) lncRNA (ENSCMMG00000007829.1)". The record is from RNAcentral. Lineage: Eukaryota; Metazoa; Chordata; Aves; Anseriformes; Anatidae.
AGGUUCCAUCACUGAGUUAAAGACAAUUGAUUUCUAAUAAUUUGGUGAAAACCAUUGCUAUAGUUUAGAUGUGUUGACAUUAAAUAGCUUUUGAUUUCUGUUUUGUUCCAUAGUGCUAAAAUGGUGCUGGAGGCAAUUAGCUGCAUUUUGAACAUGGCAAGUUCACUCUGAAUCACGCCUUGUCAUGACUUAAGUUACAACAUAACUGAGCAGUUUUUAUACAUGUAUGCCACCCAUCCCUGGUCCAUCCCUUCACCAGCUCCAUGCCAGGAGGAGAUAAAUUAAGCUGGAGGUAAGCCU